GACGGAGGGUGCAAGCGUUGUUCGGAUUGACUGGGCGUAAAGGGCGUGUAGGCGGUCGGCCAAGUCUGAUGUGAAAGCCCGAGGCUCAGCCUCGGAAGUGCGUCGGAAACUAGUCGGCUGGAGCGCGAUAGAGGAGGGUGGAAUUCCUGGUGUAGCGGUGAAAUGCGUAGAUAUCAGGAGGAACACCGGCGGCGAAGGCGGCCCUCUGGAUCGUUGCUGACGCUGAUACGCGAAAGCGUGGGGGGCAAACAGG
RNAcentral lists this ribosomal RNA (253 nucleotides) under uncultured bacterium. RNAcentral's name for it is "partial 16S ribosomal RNA". It matches the Rfam family "Bacterial small subunit ribosomal RNA", at positions 524 to 776 of the family's 1533-position model. The record is from RNAcentral.